GACAAAGGAGCGGAGGAGCAGUCGCAGCUGCUUUCCGAGGAAGCCGGUGUUGCCGAGAUUGCCAAAAUGCUUUGGAGUUUUUAACUGAAUCUAAGAAAAGUCCAAAAUAGAUCUGAGACUGUAAAAACAGAAACUGCAGCAAGGGGGAUUCAGUGCCAAUGCAUCAACAAAAAAGACAACCAGAGUUAGUGGAAGGAAAUCUUCCUGUUUUCGUGUUCCCCACGGAGCUCAUAUUUUAUGCAGAUGAUCAGUCAACACAUAAGCAAGUGUUGACACUGUACAAUCCCUAUGAGUUUGCCUUAAAGUUCAAAGGUGAGUCUCCUAGCUCUAUUUUCUGGGUUUUUAACUGGUCCCUACUAAUUUUUUACUUGUAGAAACUAAUAAAAAAAAAAAAAACACUAAUGGCCAUUGUGACUUUUUCUUUCAGUUUUGUGUACUACUCCAAAUAAGUAUGUUGUCGUUGAUGCUGCAGGUGCAGUAAAGCCUCAGUGUUGUGUGGAUAUGUAAGUCAAGAUCAAUUCCUGGUAACACGUUUUAAGUGUGUUAAUAUUUAUGUUUUUAACUUGAAAAAAAAAA
This 576-nucleotide small RNA is filed under the name Pongo abelii (Sumatran orangutan). Its description in RNAcentral is "processed transcript". Lineage: Eukaryota; Metazoa; Chordata; Mammalia; Primates; Hominidae. The record is from RNAcentral.